GGAGUCCCUGCUCCCCCCUUUGUCUCUCCCCUCCCCCAUCACCUCCGGCCCAGCCACGUGCUGUUACACAGCACGAGGCAGGGCCACGAUCCAUCCCAAAUAAACCUCAUCCCCCAAGAGCAACCAACAGAGAUCUCUCGCAUAUAUUCACCCCAAAUCCGUCCGUGGAACCCAUCGAACGUCUUUACAGACUGGUGCCCAACUUCGGAUACGACUCCACGGUGACCUGCAACCACACCCAUCUGGAUGCCUUUCCAGCUUUUCUACCUGUAGGACACUUUUCCGUGGACAGUAACUAAAUGACCAGGUAUUUCCUCCCCAUUGGUGUCAUGAGCACGGCAUUUGGUUGCUAGGCAGCUCCGAAGCCGGAGCUCUUUAAAAAUUGCUGAGGCAAUCCUCGAGCACCGCGACUCAUUACCAAGUAGCGGGUCUUCGGAGCCCUUGGAGGAUUCCUGCCCGUUAUAUCUCCGAGCACAGGCGACCACCGCGAUUCGGCGGCGACCUAAAGCUCUGCAAGGAGACUUGCCGUGGCACGCUGCCACGUGCACAGAGCACAGGCGAGCACUGCUUUGCACUGAAGCUCUGAGGGGGGUUUGGAGCUCCCGAGCACCGGAAGCCGUCCCUGAGUGACGCCCAACACCGUAGCUCUGAGGAGACCCCCGCAGAGGAUCCUCAGCACCGACUGGAGUGUACGUCGGAACCCGACAGAGGACCCCACUUGUGCGACACCGAGGUCAAGGACUCAAGUUGGUCCCAGGAAAGAAUGUGAAACCCUACCAUGCACCAAAAUCCGCUGGUACCCCCAGCCCAGGCAGUACUUCUGCAAGUACAAGCCAAGAAGCCAGCACCCAGACCUGAACUGGGCUGCGUCAUCAAGAGAAAAUGACCUGCCAGAAACAGCUUGAGAGAAAAAUGGACUUUUAUCGUUUA
This is a non-coding RNA of Taeniopygia guttata (zebra finch), 930 nucleotides long. The record is from RefSeq and is a predicted model, not a curated record. Lineage: Eukaryota; Metazoa; Chordata; Aves; Passeriformes; Estrildidae.